GCUAACUCUUAAAUAUGAUGUCGUUGAAAAACAAAGUCAAAGAUAAGUUGACGGGUUUGAGAGAAAGUAAAGGUGAGAUUAAUUGGAAUUAGGCCAUUCACUAGAAUGGAUAUAUUCUUAUGUGUAUUUGGAAUACAAAGUAGUAUAAUAUGUGAUAUAUGUGGUUUAUACUUUCUAUACUUUUUCUUAUGUCUUUUUAUGCCUUGGUCCAAUUACCUUUUGAAUUCAAUCUGUUUUUUUAGAAACUUGGUUGCAAGAAAAAGUUGGAAGGGCAACAUAAUUGGAAAAUUGGGUUACAACAAUCACCCUCUAAACUGCAGAGGAGUCUGCAUUUGAAGUUCUUUUCGAUUGGGAUGAGAAGAUUGGAGUCCCGAGAGCAUUCAUAAUUAGAAAUGAGCAUCAGAAUCUUCUUUGGUUCCUAUGCUAGCUUUGUGUGUCUCCAUCUCCAAAUAAUUUAGUUGAAAAUCACUAAUAUGCAUGCAAAUUUGAAAGGGUUUUGAUCUUUCGAUGAGUUUAAAAUGUUUGUUGGUGGUUGGUUGUAUUGCUGUCAAAUAUUUGUUGGAUAGUUUGGAACGGAGAAGUUGGUUGAUUUAGAGAAACUGAAUACACAUGGAAUUUGGAAGAGUUUUUGGUCUUA
Malus domestica (apple) is the source of this 637-nucleotide non-coding RNA. NCBI's taxonomy places the organism in Eukaryota, Viridiplantae, Streptophyta, Magnoliopsida, Rosales, Rosaceae. The record is from RefSeq and is a predicted model, not a curated record.